Molecule: ribosomal RNA, 504 nt
Filed under: uncultured bacterium
Lineage: Bacteria
Description: partial 16S ribosomal RNA
Rfam family: Bacterial small subunit ribosomal RNA
Source: RNAcentral
GACGAACGCUGGCGGCGUGCCUAAUACAUGCAAGUAGAACGCACAGUUUAUACCGUAGCUUGCUACACCAUAGACUGUGAGUUGCGAACGGGUGAGUAACGCGUAGGUAACCUGCCUGGUAGCGGGGGUAACUAUUGGAAACGAUAGCUAAUACCGCAUAAUAUUAAUUAUUGCAUGAUAAUUAAUUGAAAGGUGCAAUUGCACCACCACCAGAUGGAACUGCGUUGUAUUAGCUAGUAGGUGAGGUAACGGCUCACCUAGGCGACGAUACAUAGCCGACCUGAGAGGGUGAUCGGCCACACUGGGACUGAGACACGGCCCAGACUCCUACGGGAGGCAGCAGUAGGGAAUCUUCGGCAAUGGACGAAAGUCUGACCGAGCAACGCCGCGUGAGUGAAGAAGGUUUUCGGAUCGUAAAGCUCUGUUGUAAGAGAAGAACGGGUGUGAGAGUGGAAAGUUCACACUGUGACGGUAUCUUACCAGAAAGGGACGGCUAACUACGUG